UCAUCUAAAUUUGUGCUUCCUUUUCAACUAAAUUGACUAAAGGAACAGAUUAUUAUUAGUAAUUAAUUGUGACGCUUACCUGGCAACACACCAGGAAGAUGAAGAGAGUGAUGGCAGUCCAUAAUACCUUCUCUCUGAACUGGAUCUGUUGGACAAUCACAUUAUGCCAGGUUUCUGGAUCUCUGGCAGCACUGCACAGAAUGGCUUUAUCACCUCCAAGAAUUUGACUGGAAACAAGCAGACAUGAGUAUUUACAUAUUUGCUGUUCAACUAUUCCUCCCUGCAGGAACACAUGCAUGUCUCCACCAGAGAGCAGCAGUGGCCUGAAAAGGAUCUAGUUCAGGAAAUGCAGGCCGAUGAAGACACUUUUAAAUACCAAGCUUCUCUCAAGCCAGGAUGACUGUAAACAAAGGCAAAGUCACACGAAUGAAGGGAGUCGCAUGAAGGGAGUUGACAAAAUAAAGGAACACUUUACUAUGUCAA
Long non-coding RNA from Micropterus dolomieu (smallmouth bass), 483 nucleotides. RefSeq lists it as uncharacterized. The record is from RefSeq and is a predicted model, not a curated record. NCBI's taxonomy places the organism in Eukaryota, Metazoa, Chordata, Actinopteri, Centrarchiformes, Centrarchidae. The transcript is spliced from 3 exons.